Molecule: ribosomal RNA, 302 nt
Filed under: uncultured bacterium
Lineage: Bacteria
Description: partial 16S ribosomal RNA
Rfam family: Bacterial small subunit ribosomal RNA
Source: RNAcentral
GCAGUAGCCACGGUAAUACGGAGGGUGCAAGCGUUAUCCGGAUUCACUGGGUUUAAAGGGUGCGUAGGCGGGCAGGUAAGUCAGUGGUGAAAUCUUCGAGCUUAACUCGGAAGCUGCCGUUGAUACUAUCUGUCUUGAAUAACGUUGAGGUGAGCGGAAUAUGUCAUGUAGCGGUGAAAUGCUUAGAUAUGACAUAGAACACCGAUUGCGAAGGCAGCUCACUAAACGCUCAUUGACGCUGAGGCACGAAAGCGUGGGGAUCAAACAGGAUUAGAGACCCCCGUAGUCCCUGUCUCUUAUAU